Molecule: long non-coding RNA, 515 nt
Filed under: Bos taurus (domestic cattle)
Lineage: Eukaryota; Metazoa; Chordata; Mammalia; Artiodactyla; Bovidae
Description: long non-coding RNA NONBTAT017684
Source: RNAcentral
UUCCCUAGUGUCCCACUGGCUAAGACGCCAUAUAUAUAAAUAUCCCCACAUCAUCGUAACUAUUUUAUUCAUUUUAGCCAAAGUCUAAUUCUAGUUUAAAUUGUGAAUUUAAAUGAACAUAUACUGUGAAGUCAAACUGAGUCAAUAUGACAGGUCCCUGUUCUGACUCAACCUUUUCCUGACACAGGGUUCUCCUGUGGGGCUUUUAUCACUACUAACCUGGGUUUGCUGGUGUAUGAACGGGAAAAAGCAGCACUGGUUAUUUACAGAGGAGGAGCCUGACCUCUAGGUGUAGCAUACUUACUAAUGUCUCAAGAUGCUGGCUAAUUCAUCUCCACUCAGUGCUGAGGCUGAAGUACUUAUCUCACUAAAUACUUUUCAUGUAAAUUUCAGAUUUCUGUUCUUCCACUGAAAUUUGUAGUUUGAGCACAACUGAGAAAGAACCAGAAGACAUUUGUGGUAAAUUAAGUCAUACAAAUACAAAAAGAUACUUAAGUGUUAGAAACGUUUAUUUG